UUGGAGGGCAAGUCUGGUGCCAGCAGCCGCGGUAAUUCCAGCUCCAAUAGCGUAUAUUAAAGUUGUUGCAGUUAAAAAGCUCGUAGUUGAAUUUCGGGGUUCUACCGUUGGUCGGGCUUUGUCUGUACUGGUGUGUAGAAUUUCUACCUUCUGGGGAACCAUCAUGCUAUUAAUUUAGCGUGGUGGGAAACUAGGACCUUUACCUUGAAAAAAUUAGUGUGUUCAAAGCAGGCUUAUGUCUGAAUACAUUAGCGUGGAAUAAUAGAAUAGGACGGUGGUCCUGGUUUGUUGGUUUCUGAAUCACCGUAAUGAUUAAUAGGGAUAGUUGGGGGCAUUAGUAUUCAAUUGUCAGAGGUGAAAUUCUUGGAUUUAUUGAAGACUAACUUCUGCGAAAGCAUUUGCCAAGGAUGUUUUCAUUAAUCAAGAACGAAAGUUAGGGGAUCGAAGACGAUCAGAUACCGUCGUAGUCUUAACCAUAAACUAUGCCGACUAGGGAUCGGACGAUGUUAAUUUUUCUUGACUCGUUCGGCGCCUUACGGGAAAC
This 544-nucleotide ribosomal RNA is filed under the name uncultured Glomeromycotina. RNAcentral describes it as "SSU rRNA". It matches the Rfam family "Eukaryotic small subunit ribosomal RNA", at positions 548 to 1098 of the family's 1831-position model. The record is from RNAcentral. Lineage: Eukaryota; Fungi; Glomeromycota.